This 391-nucleotide ribosomal RNA is filed under the name uncultured bacterium. RNAcentral describes it as "bacterial SSU rRNA". It matches the Rfam family "Bacterial small subunit ribosomal RNA", at positions 29 to 425 of the family's 1533-position model. The record is from RNAcentral.
AUUAAACGCUGGCGGCAUGCCUUACACAUGCAAGUCGAACGGUAGCGCGGGGCAACCUGGCGACGAGUGGCGAACGGGUGAGUAAAGCAUCGGAACGUGCCCUGGAAUGGGGGAUAACGUAGCGAAAGUUACGCUAAUACCGCAUAUUCUGUGAGCAGGAAAGCAGGGGAUCGCAAGACCUUGCGUUCUGGGAGCGGCCGAUGUCGGAUUAGCUAGUUGGUGGGGUAAAAGCCUACCAAGGCGACGAUCCGUAGCGGGUCUGAGAGGAUGAUCCGCCACACUGGGACUGAGACACGGCCCAGACUCCUACGGGAGGCAGCAGUGGGGAAUUUUGGACAAUGGGCGGAAGCCUGAUCCAGCCAUGCCGCGUGAGUGAAGAAGGCCUCGGUUG